AUACGGAGGGUGCAAGCGUUGUUCGGAUUUACUGGGCGUAAAGAGAGUGUGGGUGGUUUAUUAAGUCGGAUGUGAAAUCCCGGGGCUCAACCUCGGAACUGCAUUCGAUACUGAUAGGCUAGAGUUUGGGAGGGGUAAGCGGAAUUCCGUGUGUAGCAGUGAAAUGCGUAGAUAUACGGAGGAACACCUGAGGCGAAGGCGGCUUACUGGACCAAUACUGACACUGAGACUCGAAAGCGUGGGUAGCAAACAGGAUUAGAAACCCUGGUAGUCC
This 274-nucleotide ribosomal RNA is filed under the name uncultured bacterium. RNAcentral describes it as "partial 16S ribosomal RNA". It matches the Rfam family "Bacterial small subunit ribosomal RNA", at positions 523 to 796 of the family's 1533-position model. The record is from RNAcentral.